RNAcentral lists this ribosomal RNA (501 nucleotides) under uncultured bacterium. RNAcentral describes it as "partial 16S ribosomal RNA". It matches the Rfam family "Bacterial small subunit ribosomal RNA", at positions 30 to 523 of the family's 1533-position model. The record is from RNAcentral.
AUUGAACGCUGGCGGCAGGCUUAACACAUGCAAGUCGAGCGGGGGAAGGUAGCUUGCUACCGGACCUAGCGGCGGACGGGUGAGUAAUGCUUAGGAAUCUGCCUAUUAGUGGGGGACAACAUCUCGAAAGGGAUGCUAAUACCGCAUACGUCCUACGGGAGAAAGCAGGGGAUCUUCGGACCUUGCGCUAAUAGAUGAGCCUAAGUCGGAUUAGCUAGUUGGUGGGGUAAAGGCCUACCAAGGCGACGAUCUGUAGCGGGUCUGAGAGGAUGGACCGCCACACUGGGACUGGGACACGGCCCAGACUCCUACGGGAGGCAGCAGUGGGGAAUAUUGGACAAUGGGGGGAACCCUGAUCCAGCCAUGCCGCGUGUGUGAAGAAGGCCUUAUGGUUGUAAAGCACUUUAAGCGAGGAGGAGGCUACUUUAGUUAAUACCUAGAGAUAGUGGACGUUACUCGCAGAAUAAGCACCGGCUAACUCUGUGCCAGCCGCCGCCGUAA